Molecule: ribosomal RNA, 468 nt
Filed under: Triticum aestivum (bread wheat)
Lineage: Eukaryota; Viridiplantae; Streptophyta; Magnoliopsida; Poales; Poaceae
Description: partial small subunit ribosomal RNA
Source: RNAcentral
AUGGCUUCGUGCAGUAGCGGCAGUUGGCUCAGAGGUAGUGGUCUACAGCAAAGAGGAAGCAGUUCAGAGGGGGGAAAACAACACUUGGUCAUGGGACGGAGGCAACCUGCGAUCAGGGGAAGCAGCAAUGACACAGAGCUAGCGCAGGCCACCAGCGAUGGCGUCAACGACCCUCCUUGCCGCACCGUGCAUCAGCUGCUCUGCUCCCGUACCUAUGCGAUGCCACACACGCAGGCGAGCUGCAGCUCAAGAAAGGGAGGGUGGGGAGGAGCAGUAACCAGGAAAGACAAACCGCACUACACUUCGCGCCCAAAGAUUGCACACACGCACCCGCCCGCUCUAGACACGCCCGCACCACACUGCACUCCGAUCCCACGCCAACGGACCGCGACGUGCAAUACAGCAAACUGCACGACCAUGUCGCGGAUUAAACAGCGAGGCGAGUGGAGCACUGCUCGAGGGAUCUAG